GGGGUUGUGGCUCAGCGGUAGAGCACUCGCUUCCCAAGUGUGAGACCAUAGGUUCGAUUCUCAGCACCA
RNAcentral lists this transfer RNA (69 nucleotides) under Ictidomys tridecemlineatus (thirteen-lined ground squirrel). RNAcentral describes it as "Spermophilus tridecemlineatus (thirteen-lined ground squirrel) tRNA". It matches the Rfam family "tRNA". From Rfam's summary of the family: Transfer RNA (tRNA) molecules are approximately 80 nucleotides in length. Their secondary structure includes four short double-helical elements and three loops (D, anti-codon, and T loops). Further hydrogen bonds mediate the characteristic L-shaped molecular structure. tRNAs have two regions of fundamental functional importance: the anti-codon, which is responsible for specific mRNA codon recognition, and the 3' end, to which the tRNAs corresponding amino acid is attached (by aminoacyl-tRNA synthetases). tRNAs cope with the degeneracy of the genetic code in two manners: having more than one tRNA (with a specific anti-codon) for a particular amino acid; and 'wobble' base-pairing, i.e. permitting non-standard base-pairing at the 3rd anti-codon position. Lineage: Eukaryota; Metazoa; Chordata; Mammalia; Rodentia; Sciuridae. The record is from Rfam by way of RNAcentral.